This 253-nucleotide ribosomal RNA is filed under the name uncultured bacterium. RNAcentral describes it as "partial 16S ribosomal RNA". It matches the Rfam family "Bacterial small subunit ribosomal RNA", at positions 524 to 776 of the family's 1533-position model. The record is from RNAcentral. RNAcentral also lists the same sequence under 2 other names.
UACGUAGGUGGCGAGCGUUGUCCGGAUUUAUUGGGUUUAAAGGGUGCGUAGGCGGCUCUAUAAGUCAGUGCUGAAAUAUCCCGGCUUAACCGGGAGGGUGGCAUUGAUACUGCAGAGCUUGAGUAAAGUUGAGGUGGGCGGAAUUGACGGUGUAGCGGUGAAAUGCUUAGAUAUCGUCAAGAACACCGAUUGCGAAGGCAGCUCACUAAGCUUUAACUGACGCUGAGGCACGAAAGUGUGGGGAUCAAACAGG